Mizuhopecten yessoensis (Yesso scallop) is the source of this 1013-nucleotide long non-coding RNA. RefSeq lists it as uncharacterized. NCBI's taxonomy places the organism in Eukaryota, Metazoa, Mollusca, Bivalvia, Pectinida, Pectinidae. The record is from RefSeq and is a predicted model, not a curated record. The transcript is spliced from 3 exons.
UGGAAUGGCAGCGAUAACUACUUAUUUGAAUGACAACGCCGGUCGUUUCAUUAUUCCCAUCUUUGUGGACACACUUCAGGGCUUCCACAUCGACAGACAGUGAUAUUGUUGACGUCCUGGGGAGGACGUGACGGACGUAACGAGAUAUACCUGGUUACAGACAGUCAGAUACCACUCAAUUGUGAGGAGUUGCUAGACAACGCACUACGGAAAAUGAUGUGAAGCUGUCCUCAAUGCUCAAGUCGCUGUGCACGAUGGUGUACGGACUACUAGCCUCUACAGGUCUCUACUACCAACUACCAGCCACUACUAUCAGACUAUAUUCAGUACAUUGGCCAGCUAACCUGUUCUUGGUAUGCAUUGGCACGCAGAGGUUCUGAAUGUGGGAGGAAUCCGGAGAACACGAGAAAUCCCACGUGGUCUGGCAGGUGACCCAAUACCUUUUCACGUCCGAUUGGCGAAACGAACCCCGGCCGUCUUGGUGACAGGCGAGUUCCUUUCCAAUGCGCCACCCUUUCACCCUAAGAUGAGUACCCCUUGUGAAUGUUCUCAAAGACAAAAAAAAAUACAGGCUGAGACUUAAAUUCUGAAAGGUUUUUUUCCCAUAAAAUUUCUGAUCUGCUUUCUAUUUAUUAAAAUUCGAAAUUUAUACGGGAAUUUGUAUACAUGUAAGCAAUCUUGUAUUUUAGUGAAACAAAUAUUGAUUAGAUAUUAGAAAAUUGAUUUACAUGUAUGUAUAUAAAACUCAGCUGAAUACUAAUUUUGUACACGAUCCGAUGUGGUUUUUUUUUAUGUUUUGGGAGUAUAAAUGAUAUCUGGAUAUAUACAUAUAACACAGCUUGAAUGAUACAUUGACAAUGUCAUUUUCUAUAACAGUGGUUUAGAAAUCUCUGGAAUUCAUCUGUAGUUGGAGGAGUCCCGGACAGAUGUAACUGGCACAUAUAUAUCUGAUUGCCUGUAAGUGAAUUACACGCAAUAGGACAUUAUGUAAUGUAAAUAAAUUGUCUAUUGAA